This 84-nucleotide transfer RNA is filed under the name Struthio camelus australis. It matches the Rfam family "tRNA". Rfam says of the family: Transfer RNA (tRNA) molecules are approximately 80 nucleotides in length. Their secondary structure includes four short double-helical elements and three loops (D, anti-codon, and T loops). The record is from Rfam by way of RNAcentral. Lineage: Eukaryota; Metazoa; Chordata; Aves; Struthioniformes; Struthionidae.
GCUGUGAUGGCCAAGGGGUGAAGGCGUUGAGCUUGAAACCCAGCAGGACUCAAACCUGUGCAGGUUCAAAUCCUGCUCACAGUG